This 602-nucleotide ribosomal RNA is filed under the name uncultured bacterium. RNAcentral describes it as "bacterial SSU rRNA". It matches the Rfam family "Bacterial small subunit ribosomal RNA", at positions 28 to 646 of the family's 1533-position model. The record is from RNAcentral.
GAUGAACGCUGGCGGCGUGCCUAACACAUGGCAAGUCGAACGGUUAAACCGCCCUCGGGCGGAGAUACAGUGGCGAACGGGUGAGUAACACGUGACCAACCUGCCCCCCGCUCCGGGACAACCUCGGGAAACCGAGGCUAAUACCGGACGACCCCGCCCCCCCUCCUGGGGGGGCGGGCAAAGCCCAGGCGGCGGGGGAUGGGGUCGCGGCCCAUUAGGUAGUAGGCGGGGCAACGGCCCACCUAGCCUUCGAUGGGUAGCCGGGUUGAGAGACCGACCGGCCACAUUGGGACUGAGAUACGGCCCAGACUCCUACGGGAGGCAGCAGUGGGGAAUUUUGCGCAAUGGGGGAAACCCUGACGCAGCAACGCCGCGUGCGGGACGACGGCCCUCGGGUUGUAAACCGCUUUCAGCAGGGAAGAACAUCGACGGUACCUGCAGAAGAAGCUCCGGCUAACUACGUGCCAGCAGCCGCGGUAAUACGUAGGGAGCGAGCGUUAUCCGGAUUCAUUGGGCGUAAAGGGCGCGUANGCGGCCCUCUCAGCGGGAUCUCUAAUCCGAGGGCUCAACCCCCGGCCGGAUCCCGAACUGGAGGGCUCGAG